This is an RNA transcript of Brassica oleracea var. oleracea, 510 nucleotides long. It is a transcript of the gene named dolichyl-diphosphooligosaccharide--protein glycosyltransferase subunit 4A, with no coding region annotated. The record is from RefSeq and is a predicted model, not a curated record. NCBI's taxonomy places the organism in Eukaryota, Viridiplantae, Streptophyta, Magnoliopsida, Brassicales, Brassicaceae. The transcript has 3 exons.
CUUAUCUCGCGAAAAGUAAGUAAAGCAACCCUCGGACAUCAUUGAGACUUGUUCAGUUCUGCGCUUCAAGUUCCCGAAGAUCUGAUCCGUCUCCACCGAUUCCGUCCUGAUAAAACGAAGGUUUUCUCUGGGCGCCAUCUGUGUGUGUGGUGGUCCUUUGAAUCCGUCUCUUGUCGGAUUGUGUCACUUUUUGGAUGAUUGAUGAUAAAGACUUGGGGUUUAUAGUCAACUUCCUUGGCAUCUUCAUCUUCGCACUGGUAAUUGCUUAUCAUUACGUAGCUGCUGAUCCCAAGUUCGAAGCCACUUGAGUUAUGUACUUUUAGCUGAUAUAAGUCCCUUUUUUCUUUACUUUAUAAUAACAGUCUUUGUUGAGAUGAAUAUGUUGUCAAGAUGUUUGUAAGCUGUUUCACAUCUUCAUUUCGUCACCUAUAUUUAGCUGAUCUAAAAGCGUCGACUUUAGGCCCAAACCAAGUAAAUGCAGCUAAGAUGGUUUAGGUUGUUUCACGUUCA